GUUAAAGUGAUGUUUGAUCUUUAGGAGACAUCGACAGAGAUGGAGCUUCUUCCUCUUCUGUGUCUCUGCCUCCUGACUCGCUCUGGAAUCACGUCUGCUCAACUAAACGGGUCAUUAUUGAUU
Molecule: long non-coding RNA, 123 nt
Organism: Sander lucioperca (pikeperch)
Lineage: Eukaryota; Metazoa; Chordata; Actinopteri; Perciformes; Percidae
Exons: 3
Source: RefSeq, a predicted model, not a curated record